AGAGUUUGAUCCUGGCUCAGGAUGAACGCUGGCGGCGUGCUUAACACAUGCAAGUCGAACGGAGCUGUAUUGAAACCUAGUGAUAUACAGCUUAGUGGCGGACGGGUGAGUAACGCGUGGGCAACCUGCCGCAUACCGGGGGAUAACACUUAGAAAUAGGUGCUAAUACCGCAUAAGCGCACAGAGCCGCAUGGCUUGGUGUGAAAAACUCCGGUGGUAUGCGAUGGGCCCGCGUCUGAUUAGCUAGUUGGCGGGGUAGAGGCCCACCAAGGCGACGAUCAGUAGCCGGCCUGAGAGGGCGGACGGCCACAUUGGGACUGAGACACGGCCCAGACUCCUACGGGAGGCAGCAGUGGGGGAUAUUGCACAAUGGGGGAAACCCUGAUGCAGCGACGCCGCGUGAGUGAAGAAGUCAUUCGUGAUGUAAAGCUCUAUCAGCAGGGAAGAAAAUGACGGUACCUGACUAAGAAGCCCCGGCUAACUACGUG
This 488-nucleotide ribosomal RNA is filed under the name uncultured Lachnospiraceae bacterium. RNAcentral's name for it is "bacterial SSU rRNA". It matches the Rfam family "Bacterial small subunit ribosomal RNA", at positions 8 to 507 of the family's 1533-position model. Lineage: Bacteria; Bacillati; Bacillota; Clostridia; Lachnospirales; Lachnospiraceae. The record is from RNAcentral.